This 494-nucleotide ribosomal RNA is filed under the name uncultured bacterium. RNAcentral describes it as "partial 16S ribosomal RNA". It matches the Rfam family "Bacterial small subunit ribosomal RNA", at positions 28 to 507 of the family's 1533-position model. The record is from RNAcentral.
GACGAACGCUGGGGGCGUGCUUAACACAUGCAAGUCGAACGGUGAAGCGCCUUCCUUUUUGGUGGGUGUGGAUGAGUGGCGAACGGGUGAGUAACACGUGAGUAACCUGCCCCCUUCUUCUGGAUAACCGCAUGAAAGUGUGGCUAAUACGGGAUAUUCUGGGUCUGUCGCAUGAUGGGUCUGGGAAAGAUAUUGUUUCGGUGGGGGAUGGGCUCGCGGCCUAUCAGCUUGUUGGUGGGGUGAUGGCCUACCAAGGCGGUGACGGGUAGCCGGCCUGAGAGGGUGGACGGUCACACUGGGACUGAGACACGGCCCAGACUCCUACGGGAGGCAGCAGUGGGGAAUAUUGCACAAUGGGCGCAAGCCUGAUGCAGCGACGCCGCGUGAGGGAUGGAGGCCUUCGGGUUGUGAACCUCUUUCGCCAGUGAAGCAGGCCUGCCUCGUUUGUGGGUGGGUUGACGGUAGCUGGAGAAGAAGCGCCGGCUAACUACGUG